UUUAUUGGCUGAUUGGGUGGGUAGAAGAACCCUCGCGGGUUCGACCGGAGCAGGCGAAGCCUGCGUAGGAACGUCGGAGCAAAGCGACGACGGCCCCGAAGGGGUGAGGCGCGCAGCGCCGAAUAAUCCCUCCCUCUCCGCCA
Molecule: small RNA, 143 nt
Filed under: Marinobacter halodurans
Lineage: Bacteria; Pseudomonadati; Pseudomonadota; Gammaproteobacteria; Pseudomonadales; Marinobacteraceae
Description: Marinobacter sp. YJ-S3-2 RtT sRNA
Rfam family: RtT RNA
About the family: This family represents a bacterial cis-regulatory element known as RtT RNA. The exact function of RtT is unknown although it is thought that it may be involved in changing the cellular response in relation to amino acid starvation.
Source: RNAcentral